This is a non-coding RNA of Plectropomus leopardus (leopard coralgrouper), 95 nucleotides long. NCBI's taxonomy places the organism in Eukaryota, Metazoa, Chordata, Actinopteri, Perciformes, Serranidae. The record is from RefSeq and is a predicted model, not a curated record.
AAUGGACUCAAAACAAGAAAUCCACAGCUCAAAACCCUGUUGGCGGUUGGUGGCUUGACCUUUAGCCCGCAAAAAUUCAGUACAAUGGUGGCAAC